Molecule: RNA transcript, 2428 nt
Organism: Abrus precatorius (Indian licorice)
Lineage: Eukaryota; Viridiplantae; Streptophyta; Magnoliopsida; Fabales; Fabaceae
Gene name: cysteine-rich receptor-like protein kinase 42
Exons: 6
Source: RefSeq, a predicted model, not a curated record
UCACUUACAAACACGAACGCACAAGAGAGUUAGAAGAGACAUGGAGCAAUAAUAACUCAUCGGCAUAACAGGAAGCGAGAAAUGAAGUCGAAAUACUCAUCAUCAUGGGUUCUCUGCACCAUUCUCUGCCUCUCAACACUAUCCCACAGCCUCUCGGAUCCAAGAAUCUCGGAGGCAGGGCUCUACUGCGGCAAAAACAGAGCCCCACUGAAAGCGAACUACAUCCCAAGCUUCAUCAAGGAAAUGGAAACCCUCUCUCAGCAAGUAACAGACCACAACUGGGGCUCCCACUUCAUCAACAUCUCAGCCAUUCCCAUCUUCGGCUUAGCCCAAUGUUUCCACGACCUCUCCCACACCGAUUGCCUCCUCUGCUACGCCGCAAGUCGCACCAAGCUCCCUCGCUGCCUCCCUUCCGUCUCCGCUCGCAUCUACCUCGACGGUUGCUUCCUCCGCUACGACAACUACAACUUCUACUCCGAAAGCACCGACCCUUCAAGAGACACUGUCAACUGCACCUCCCAGUACGGCAUCGUUUCUGAUGCAGCUCAGAGGGUGGAGCUUCAAAUGAGUGUUGGAAGACUUGUUGAUAGUGUCACCGCGCUGGCUGUGGCUAAAGCUCGUGGUUUUGCUGUUGGGGAUGUCAAAGGGGUUUAUGCGUUGGCUCAGUGCUGGAACACUGUUGGGAGUGAGGGGUGUAGAGAGUGCUUGAGGAAAGCUGCAAAGGAGGUGAAAACGUGCUUGCCAAAAAGAGAAGGGAGGGCCUUGAAUGCUGGGUGUUAUUUGAGGUAUUCUACUCACAAGUUUUAUAAUGAAGAAGAUGCUGCACGUGGUGGAAAAGGGUCCUUUAGAAGACGAGGAGUUAUAAUAGCUGAAGUGUUAGCAGCAGCUGCAGUUUUAAUGCUCGCUCUCUCUGCCUCUUAUGCAGCCUUCACAAGAUUGUCAAAGAUUAAAAGAGAAAACAAAAAUCUUGGUCCGAUUUCCUCUUCCAUAAGCAAAUCUAGGUUGAAUUACAAAUACGAGACUCUUGAGAAGGCCACAGAUUAUUUCAACUCUUCCAGAAAAAUUGGACAAGGAGGGGCUGGUUCUGUUUUCAAAGGUAUUCUUCCAAGUGGGAAAGUUGUUGCCGUUAAGAGAUUGAUCUUCAAUAACAGGCAAUGGGUGGAUGAGUUCUUCAAUGAAGUGAAUUUGAUUAGCGGAAUUGAACACAAGAACCUUGUCAAACUAUUGGGUUGUAGCAUUGAAGGCCCUGAGAGCCUCCUUGUGUACGAGUACUUACCCAAAAAGAGUUUGGACCAAUUUAUCUUUGUUUCAGGAAGGUGACAUGACACAUUAAUCUACUUUGCAGAAAAGAACAGAGCUCAGAUUCUAAAUUGGAAGAAGCGGUUUAAUAUCAUUCUUGGAACAGCUGAAGGGCUUGCAUAUCUUCAUGAAGGCACUAAAAUAAGAAUCAUCCAUAGAGACAUCAAAAGCAGCAAUAUUCUUCUGGACGAGAAUCUCACUCCUAAGAUUGCAGAUUUUGGCCUUGCCAGGUGUUUUGGUGCUGAUAAGUCCCAUUUGAGCACUGGAAUUGCUGGAACAUUAGGUUACAUGGCUCCAGAGUACCUAAUUCGAGGGCAACUUACAGAUAAAGCUGAUGUAUAUAGUUAUGGAGUACUUGUUCUGGAGAUCGUAAGUGGCAGGAGGAAUAACGUCUUCAGAGAGGACUCUGGCUCGCUACUACAAACUGUUUGGAAACUUUACCGAUCAAACACAUUAAAUGAAGCUGUGGAUUCUUGCUUGGGAGAUGAUUUUCCUGCAACUGAGGCAUCAAGGGUGUUUCGGAUUGCAUUGCUUUGCACACAAGCUUCUGCUUCCCUGAGGCCAUCCAUGUCGCACGUUGUUUUCAUGUUAAGUAAUUCAAAUGUGGAUGUUCCUACACCAAAUCAACCACCAUUUUUGAACACUGGAGUGCUUGACUCAGACAGCUCCAGUAAGUCUUAUAGCACAAGCAGCUUUAUAUCCAAUGCCUUAAAGAAGAUAGGAGUGUCCUACAGCUACUCGGAGUCCUCUAGUUCACGCAACUCAGAGGGGCCAUCAAGAAGUGCAGAAUCGAUUGUCCAAGGUUGAAGAUCUUUAAAAUCGCUUAUUGAAAGGGUUAGCAUGUGAGCAAGGGAACAGCAAUUCACUAGAAAAGGAGGCGGGGCAGCGGGGACCCAUGGGAACUGAAUCAACUGAUCAUGUCAUGUGUAAAUUGUGUAUUUAUAUUUCUAUCUAUUAAUUUUUAUAGGAUCCCCACUUAUCUGACGUCUAUUAAGCGAUGAAUAGAUACAAGAUUUACACACCACCUUAUCAUGUUCGCAACUUCGCAUUAAUGGAGGGAAAUCUUUUAUUGUAAUUAUAUGCAUUUAAGGUUGUUACCUAUCCAUUUAUUACAAAUCAACGUUGUUUG